UACGAAGGGGGCUAGCGUUGUUCGGAUUUACUGGGCGUAAAGCGCGUGUAGGCGGGUCGCUAAGUUGGGGGUGAAAUCCCGAGGCUCAACCUCGGAACUGCCUUCAAAACUGGCGACCUGGAGCAAGAUAGAGGCGAGUGGAAUUGCGAGUGUAGAGGUGAAAUUCGUAGAUAUUCGCAGGAAAACCAGUGGCGAAGGCGACUCGCUGGAUCUUUGCUGACGCUGAGACGCGAAAGCGUGGGGAGCAAACAGG
RNAcentral lists this ribosomal RNA (253 nucleotides) under uncultured bacterium. Its description in RNAcentral is "partial 16S ribosomal RNA". It matches the Rfam family "Bacterial small subunit ribosomal RNA", at positions 524 to 776 of the family's 1533-position model. The record is from RNAcentral.